GGGGAAUUUUGGACAAUGGGGGCAACCCUGAUCCAGCCAUUCCGCGUGAGUGAAGAAGGCCUUCGGGUUGUAAAGCUCUUUCAGCUGGAGUGAAACGGUGCGCUCUAACAUAGCGUGCUAAUGACGGUACCAGCAGAAGAAGCACCGGCUAACUACGUGCCAGCAGCCGCGGUAAUACGUAGGGUGCGAGCGUUAAUCGGAAUUACUGGGCGUAAAGCGUGCGCAGGCGGAUUGUUAAGCAAGACGUGAAAUCCCCGGGCUUAACCUGGGAAUGGCGUUUUGAACUGGCAGUCUAGAGUGCGUCAGAGGGGGGUGGAAUUCCACGUGUAGCAGUGAAAUGCGUAGAGAUGUGGAGGAACACCAAUGGCGAAGGCAGCCCCCUGGGAUGACACUGACGCUCAUGUACGAAAGCGUGGGUAGCAAACAGGAUUAGAUACCCUGGUAGUCCACGCCCUAAACGAUGUCAACUGGUUGUUGGGGGAGUGAAAUCCCUUAGUAACGAAGCUAACGCGUGAAGUUGACCGCCUGGGGAGUACGGUCGCAAGAUUAAAACUCAAAGGAAUUGACGGGGACCCGCACAAGCGGUGGAUGAUGUGGAUUAAUUCGAUGCAACCGCGAAAAACCUUACCUACCCUUGACAUGUCCAGAAUCCUGCAGAGAUGCGGGAGUGCCCGAAAGGGAAUUGGAACACAGGUGCUGCAUGGCUGUCGUCAGCUCGUGUCGUGAGAUGUUGGGUUAAG
RNAcentral lists this ribosomal RNA (740 nucleotides) under uncultured bacterium. Its description in RNAcentral is "bacterial SSU rRNA". It matches the Rfam family "Bacterial small subunit ribosomal RNA", at positions 356 to 1084 of the family's 1533-position model. The record is from RNAcentral.